RNAcentral lists this ribosomal RNA (468 nucleotides) under uncultured bacterium. RNAcentral describes it as "partial 16S ribosomal RNA". It matches the Rfam family "Bacterial small subunit ribosomal RNA", at positions 28 to 507 of the family's 1533-position model. The record is from RNAcentral.
GACGAACGCUGGCGGCGUGCUUAACACAUGCAGGUCGAACGGAAAGGCCCUGCUUUUGUGGGGUGCUCGAGUGGCGAACGGGUGAGUAACACGUGAGUAACCUGUCCUUGACUUUGGGAUAACUUCAGGAAACUGGGGCUAAUACCGGAUAGGAGCUCCUGCUGCAUGGUGGGGGUUGGAAAGUUUCGGCGGUUGGGGAUGGACUCGCGGCUUAUCAGCUUGUUGGUGGGGUAGUGGCUUACCAAGGCUUUGACGGGUAGCCGGCCUGAGAGGGUGACCGGCCACAUUGGGACUGAGAUACGGCCCAGACUCCUACGGGAGGCAGCAGUGGGGAAUAUUGCACAAUGGGCGGAAGCCUGAUGCAGCAACGCCGCGUGCGGGAUGACGGCCUUCGGGUUGUAAACCGCUUUCGCCUGUGACGAAGCGUGAGUGACGGUAAUGGGUAAAGAAGCACCGGCUAACUACGUG